RNAcentral lists this small RNA (137 nucleotides) under human gut metagenome. RNAcentral's name for it is "Clostridiales-1 RNA". It matches the Rfam family "Clostridiales-1 RNA", at positions 22 to 155 of the family's 166-position model. The record is from RNAcentral.
GAAAAAGCCGUCAUGCUUGCAUGUAAGGCUCUUUCGUCAUUUGACGCUGCAACAGUAAUGAGGAAAACAGCACUGCGACAGCGGUGCGAUUUCCGAAUGAAUGUCAGGGCUUGCGGGAGUGCGUAGCACGGAGCAAG